This 94-nucleotide ribosomal RNA is filed under the name uncultured archaeon. RNAcentral describes it as "partial 16S ribosomal RNA". The record is from RNAcentral.
CUCCCUCGUUGCUGACCCCAGGUUCGAUAGUGCCAAUGAGGCACCACCUCGCCAAGAACCAACUUCGAUGAAGCGACGGGCGGUGUGUGCAAGG